This 192-nucleotide ribosomal RNA is filed under the name Triticum aestivum (bread wheat). Its description in RNAcentral is "partial small subunit ribosomal RNA". Lineage: Eukaryota; Viridiplantae; Streptophyta; Magnoliopsida; Poales; Poaceae. The record is from RNAcentral.
AUGAAUGGCAGGGUGACCCUGGAUCAGGGUUGGGCCACCUACACAGCCGUUCAUUGGAUCAAGAUUGGCUACAUGGUGACGUUCAAGCUCCUCACUCCCGACACCCUCAAGGUCAUCAUCUUCGAUGACGAUGGCAUUGAGGUCGUCAACAAGUGCGGGAAGCACGACGAAGCCUUCACCGCCAAGGAGUAG